Molecule: ribosomal RNA, 427 nt
Filed under: uncultured bacterium
Lineage: Bacteria
Description: partial 16S ribosomal RNA
Rfam family: Bacterial small subunit ribosomal RNA
Source: RNAcentral
UGGGGAAUAUUGCACAAUGGGCGCAAGCCUGAUGCAGCCAUGCCGCGUGUAUGAAGAAGGCCUUCGGGUUGUAAAGUACUUUCAGCGAGGAGGAAGGCGUUGUGGUUAAUAACCGCAACGAUUGACGUUACUCGCAGAAGAAGCACCGGCUAACUCCGUGCCAGCAGCCGCGGUAAUACGGAGGGUGCAAGCGUUAAUCGGAAUUACUGGGCGUAAAGCGCACGCAGGCGGUCUGUCAAGUCGGAUGUGAAAUCCCCGGGCUCAACCUGGGAACUGCAUCCGAAACUGGCAGGCUAGAGUCUUGUAGAGGGGGGUAGAAUUCCAGGUGUAGCGGUGAAAUGCGUAGAGAUCUGGAGGAAUACCGGUGGCGAAGGCGGCCCCCUGGACAGAGACUGACGCUCAGGUGCGAAAGCGUGGGGAGCAAACA